Molecule: non-coding RNA, 4174 nt
Organism: Anas platyrhynchos (mallard)
Lineage: Eukaryota; Metazoa; Chordata; Aves; Anseriformes; Anatidae
Source: RefSeq, a predicted model, not a curated record
ACCAAAGCAAGUUGGCACAUUAGGCGUGCACGAUUUUGGUGGGACUACCCGCCCCGUGCUGCCCAGAACUGAGUAAACAUACUUACUUUACAAUCUUACUGAUUGUGGAGUCAGCUUUCUGUGAGUCAUUUUGGUGAGCCAGGCAGGAGACACUCUGCUCGGCUGCGGGAUCGGCUGUGGCGCGGACGCCCCUAGGUGCACCCUGAGUGUUUUGCUCGGAGGGGACUCCACUCUCAGCCGCUCACCGCAGGUGCAGAUAAAGAUCUCCUGAAGCUGUGGACAAACGCAUGUAAAAGACUGUCAUGGUUACCUCCCAUGGACCUUUUCCAUCUAGCUGUGGCUGAGGAUGGUGGGGAGCAUGGUGUCCAUGGUGUCACCUUUCCUAUCACAGGAAGAAGGACCAGGACAUAAACUAACAGCUGCCAGGGAAGGGAUAUGACCUAGACCUUACAUUAAAAGCUCUUCAAAAGGCAACAGCAUCAAGCAAAUAUUGUGAUGCAGCUGAAUGUCAUUGGGAAACAAGGUACUGUAUAUCAGCCCUACGUAAUGAAUGCAAAUUGUAUUUUUAGAAUCCAAAUGGGAAAGCAUAAAAGGCUACAAAAGCUUUAAUUUAUGAUUUGUUCAUUUAAAGCUUCAGGCCAUUAAGUACCCAUUAAGUUACUCUUUUAUAUGCCACUAAGUGCAUCUCUAUUGUCAGAAUAAAAAGAUUGUUUUAAUUCACCCUAUAUCAGAUAAAACAUUUUAAUUGAGGGCAUUUGUGAUAACAAAUUGACUGGAAUUGGAAAGUAAAUUAAUGCUGAGUUCUGACAGCAGGACAUCUUUGUGAAUUUGCUUUUAGUGUUUGUGUGUGCAAUAACAGUUACAUUAUAUGUGUGUUUAUUUCUGUUGAGAUUUCAUUUACAAAGAUUCUACCCCAAAUAAAAUUUUGAUUUUCAUUCCUCUGGUAGGGUUCCCUAGAUUCAUGUCUUUUCUACUCUUACCAUGGAGCUCAGAUUAUCUCUUAAACAUUUUGUAACGUUCUCUGACCUCCCUGCUAAGAGCCUCCAUUAUUUAAGAUGUGUUCUGAAAAUGGGGAGUAGAAACAAGUGGAUUAGAAGAAACUGCGUAUUUUCCUUCCCAAGGAUAUUUCAGGGUUUGCUUUCAUUUGAGAGAAUGUGGAGUUUUAAAGCCUGCCUGCAGAAUAUGGACAUUUCAAAGAACGUUCAUUUAGAGAUGUUGACAUAUUUUGUGUUGGCAUUUUUGAUUGAAAUCAAGCAUUGCAUUCCUGGAACUGAAGUGGUUCAUUUUCUUUUGUUCGUGAGCUGAUCAGCAUGCAGACAUAUUGUAUUGCCAUUGUUGCCUGGCCUCCAAUUUUCUCUGUGGUGCUGAGAAAUACUCCUCCCAGGAUGAAGUGACUGAAAUACCUACAUAUAUAUACCUAGAUCAUGACCUACAUGACUAAAUCAUCUGCUGUAAUUUGAAACUCUUGCUCGCUUGUGCAGAAAUGUCCAAAUUCCCAGCAGGCAAUAUUCUAAGAAAAUGCAGUUGAAUUUCAUUGAUUUUUAAGCAAAAGACAUUGUCCUGUUUAAUAAAAUAAAUUGUUGCAAUUUGGAUUUAAAACAACAACAACAAAACAGAUGCAAGACCCCAUUUUCUGAAGAAAAAAAACUGACAUUUGGAAAAUAUUUCCAAACAUAUUUUUUACAUGAAAUUAUUUCCUUCAAGUUCUGAAAUUGCAUCUGAUGUCAAUUUAUGCACCAGGAAAGGUCACCCUCUGUCUCUCAGGACUGCUGGAUUGCUUCUGUAAUGACUAUUUCUCAUUUAUGGGAAGGUUCGCAACUGGGGGAGGGAGUAACUGAAAAGCAGAAGGGCUAAAAAGAAGCUUCUUAAAGUGAUCUGUGGCCUGGAAAGACAAGUAAAGGGCAAUCCUGCAGUUCCUUGCUCAGACGUGCUAGCCAAUUAAGCAAUUAUAUUAUCUUGGGCUUCUCUGAGUAGCUUUUUCUGCCAGCCCAUCUGGUCUUCUCCUUAACUUCUAUGAGAUUUCUAUUUGCAGCUCUUCUGUCUUCCUGUGUGUUGCUUCUCCAUCACUGUUUUCUACCUUCUGGCUCUGUCUUUCCACUAGCUUCUUCUCUAUUAUCGAUCACAUAAGAGCAACUCGUUACUAAGAAUUGCUAGACAAAAGGCCUUACACUUUUAUGCCUAUUUUCUGUGAUUAUUCAGUAUGCAGCAGAAAUAAGCUUUUAAAAUACAUCAGUUUUAAAUGUGUUUUUAGUGACCUUUCUGCUUAUCCAUAGGUGAAUAAUUUUUCUAACAAUUUUCAAAUUCAAUACCUUAAAAUGUUUUUCAACCUAAAGUGUGAAGCAAAUGUACAUUCUUCCUGUGAAUUUGAAGUAGAAUUAUUGUUCAUAGUGUGAAAAGGUAUUUUCAAGAAAAUGUUUGCCAGUUCCAUUAAGUUAUUGUAUAUUUUUUCAAGGAUUCCAGUAAUCUGUAUUUGUCAGUUAUAUAGAUAAGAAAAUGACUUGGAAAGUGAAGGCAUUUAUCUAUUCACAAAAUAAAUAAAUAAGUAAAUACGUAGUGCAGUACUUCAAUUUGCCUCAUUUUUUUUUAUUUUUUUUAUUUUUUAACUUGGAAAUUUAGUUCAGAUUCAAUUAAUGAAGCUAAAAAAUCUGGUAAACAGAGAGGGAAAUAUUGGGUGACAAACACUAGAAUGGGUUGCCCAGAGAAGUUGUGAAGUAUGUUUCUCUGGAGAUACUCAAAACCCACCCAGAUGUCAUCUUGCACAAUGUUCUGUAGGUGAUCCUGCUCAGCAGAAGAGUUGGAAUAGACAAUAUUUCGAGGUCUCUUCCAACCUCGGCCAUUCUGUGAUUCUGUGAAAUAUUGUUGUGGAAAUGUUAAAUUGCAGUUUAAUUGGAUUUUUAAUUUCUAUUAAGUUAAAGGGAUUUAUUAAUAGGAUUCAUUUAACUUUUUGUUUUGUUUUGUUAAAUUAACCAAAGAUAGAAUGUGUCACAGGAAAAACUGAAGGGUUUAAAGAAAGAGGAAGGGCUACCUUAAGAAGACAUGAAUGUGUUUUGUAACAGUGUCUCUCCAUCACUUUGCCAGAUUGUCCUCUAUUAUAACAGAUCCUAACAUUCAGGAACAGCAAGAUGGAUUUAUGCACAUUUUCUAUGUAUCUCAGAAAAUACUUUGCUCUUUUUUUUUUUUCUUUACCAGAUCUUUUGUUUCCGCACAUAGAAAAUCAAUCUCAUUUAAUGCAUCGGGAAACUCUCUCUUAAGACUCACUGCCUUUCACUUUGGGUUAUCCUCUCAGCCAAAUCCUGCGAGAUUAUAAUUGAUUUUAAAAGUCAGCAGCAAAAGUAUUUGAUCUUUGGGUGACAAACAGUCAAAGAGGAGCCCUCAGGAUCAGUGUUAAACGUCAAUGAAAUUAGAUUCAUGCUAGGAUAGGCAAGUUACAAAAAUUUAAAACCAGCUGUAACUGUGAUAGUAAUAAAUGGAAACUCAGCAAAAUGAAGCUAUUAGUCAACAAUGUGCAAUCUCAUAAACGUGAACAAAUGAUUAUGGAGCAGCUCAGGCCUGAAUUAAAACCAAACAAGCUGAAACAAGCAAUAUCACUGAGAUGGGUAAAAUACAUUUAUUCGAGACGAUGUAACAAUACACAGUAGAAUAAAAACUGAACCUUCAGCUGAUAUGCUUGUCACAAUCAGGUACAGUUUAAUAUAUAGAUGUUCUCAUCACCAUUGUUCUCUGCCCAUUGAAGCAUUUAUAUGUCUGUACUUCCCUUUAUUCCACAGGUCUUUUCCCAAAAUGUUCAUAAAAACUGUUGAUGGUUUCAGCUUCAUUUGUCAAAGUGGUCACUCAGGGCAGGCGAAGCUGGUUUUCUUGAUACCAACACCAGCUUAGCUCACAUCCCUUAUCACCCACAAGCCUCUGGGAAGGUUGAGAGGUACAAUGGACUGUUAAAAACUAUGUUGCGAGCAUUGGGUGCUGGGACGUGGAAAUAUUGGGAUAUAAAUCUACCAGAGGCCACUUGGCUAGUUAACAACAGGGGGUCUGACAGCCGUCCUGAUCCUGCUGAAACAAAAUCCCUACACACUGUGGAAGAAGCUAAAGUCCCUGUAGUGCAUGUGGGGAAGUGGAUGGGGAAGGUGGUGUGGGUUGCCCCUGCCAUGGGAAAAGGCAAACCCACUUGUGGGAUUGU